UUAUGUACACACAGUCUCCAUAUAGCUGGAGUAUUGGUGAGUGAAGCGUUACAAAACAAAGAGAAAUAUAAACAAACCCAACUCUGCGCUCCUUCGUUUUAUACCAUUUUUGUCAUUUCAACUUUUCUAUGAACCCAAGAUGGCAGCCCCCAUGUAACAUGUGUGUAGCACGGUCCAAUAUGGCCCAACAUCCUCAAUCAUCGUGUUUGUUGAGAUAUGUGCUCUUUGAAUAGAUUAUCGAUAACAGAGUACGUGUAUGUAGCUGCUUGUUUAUCUUGAAAUAUGCUGCACCCAAUCAGAAUCAUAGCGUAUUCAUCACCGUGUUUGGCUGCAAGGGGGGCCCUGUUAGGGUUGCACAGUCAUGUUGCUAGGUCCUUCAUGCGGUUGUACCGAGCCGUUGACCACGACGACAUGUCGAAGAUCAGGAACAUUGGAAUCAUGGCUCACAUUGACGCGGGGAAAACAACAACCACUGAAAGAAUGCUGUUCUAUUCCGGAUAUUCAUCACACCUGGGAAACGUUGACAGUGGAGACACUGUCAUGGACUACAUGGAGCAGGAACGUGACCGUGGCAUCACUAUCACCUCCGCUGCCAUUACCAUCCCCUGGCAACAUCACCGCAUCAACCUCAUCGACACACCUGGCCAUGUUGACUUCACUAUGGAGGUGGAGAGGUCCCUGAGGGUGCUGGAUGGAGCAGUCACCAUCUUGGAUGCAUCAGCAGGAGUAGAGGCCCAGACUCUGACCGUAUGGAGGCAAGCUGACCGUUACAACAUUCCAAGGAUGGUGUACCUCAACAAGAUGGACAAGCGUGGAGCUAACCUCAAACUGUGUCUCGACUCACUCACUCACAAACUGAAAGUGAGGCCCAUGGUCCUGCAAUUGCCACUGGGGGCAGAGCGAGGCUUCCAUGGAGUCCUUGACCUGGUCAGUAUGGAGAGGCAGGUUUGGGACUCUAGCAUGAGUCCUGAUGGAACUGUGUAUGAACAAAGUUCACUCCUUGAGUCAGAUCCCCUCUACGAAACUGCUCUGAAUGAGAGAAACAAUUUGAUUGGUCAGCUUGCUGAUUUUGAUGACAGGCUGGCUGAACUUGUUCUGUCUGAUGAUGUGAGUAACAUUCCCCAGUCUGUGCUGCACAAUGCCAUCAAACUGUGCACCGUGAAGCAGCACCUGGUGCCAGUGAUGUGUGGGGCCUCCUUCAAGAACAAGGGAGUACAGCCACUCUUGGAUGCCAUCAUCCGAUACCUGCCCAGUCCCAUGGAGGUCAGCUAUGGGUUUGCUGAGCACUAUGGGAGUGACCUUUGUGCUCUGGCUUUCAAGGUCAUUCAUGACAAACAGCGAGGCCCUCUGACAUUUCUGCGAAUGUAUUCUGGGAUGAUGAAGAGUGGGGAGUCUGUGUACAAUAUCAACCGUGGCGUGACGGAGAAAACAAGCCGACUGCUGCAAGUGUAUGCCAAUGACUUCCAUGACAUGUCCACAGCAUCUGCUGGCAACAUCGUCCUCGUGGCAGGACUGAAACAGACAUACACCGGAGACACCAUCACCAACACUCAGAAGACGGCAAAUGCUGCAGCACGGACAUACAGGAUACACCGACACAAGGAGGGAUUCACAGACGAUUUCGAUGGCUGUAGUAAAGAUACAGGGGAUGACUCCGUGGAGGACGAUAGUAGACUACCUGUUCUGGCAGGACUGGAUAUUCCUGACCCUGUCUUUUUCUGCUCCAUCGAACCUCCAACAAUGGCUGCUCAGAGACAGCUGGAUAUGGCACUGGAAUGCCUUCAGAAGGAGGACCCAAGUCUUAAGGUUGAGUUUAACCAGGAGACGGGACAGACUAUUCUGUUGGGGAUGGGGGAACUUCAUCUGGACAUCAUCCGGUCACGCAUCAUCAAAGAGUACCGCAUUGAGGCAGAGGUUGGACCGCUCCAGGUAGCGUACAGAGAAACGUUAUUGGUAGAGGCGGAGGUCGAGGACACCCUUGACAGAACUGUUGGAGACCGGCGCCACCAGGUGUCUAUGAAAUUGUCUGUGCAUCCAGACAAUGACAUACAGGGCUUCAAGCAUGUUGACCUGAUGUCAUUCAAGGAGCAUCAUUUUCAGCCAAAACGCCCACAUUUGAAGGCAGUGGAGAGUGGCAUCAGAUCUUCCCUGCAGAAUGGUCCUGUACUCAACUGUCCUGUUAUCCAUGUCCGGGUUCAGCUGCACAGUCUCCAGGUCCGUCCUGGGACGUCCCUGGCGAUGGUGUCCGCGUGUGCAGCACAGUGUAUGAGCAAGGCCCUCCAGGGUGCAGAUAUGGCGCUGCUGGAACCCAUGAUGAAGUUGCAGGUGAGACAGAUGUGGCACUGCUGGAAGCCAUGAUGAAGUUACAGGUGAGACAGAUGUGGCACUGCUGGAAGCCAUGAUGAAGUUACAGGUGAGACAGAUGUGGCACUGCUGGAAGCCAUGAUGAAGUUACAGGUGAGACAGAUGUGGCGCUGCUGGAAGCCAUGAUGAAGUUACAGGUGAGACAGAUAUGGCGCUGCUGGAACCCAUGAUGAAGUUGCAGGUGAGACAGAUGUGGCGCUGCUGGAAGCCAUGAUGAAGUGACAGGUGAGACAGAUGUGGGACUGCUGGAAGCCAUGAUGAAGUUACAGGUGAGACAGACAUGGGACUGCUGGAAGCCAUGAUGAAGUUACAGGUGAGACAGACGUGGGACUGCUGGAAGCCAUGAUGAAGUUACAGGUGAGACAGAUGUGGGACUGUUGGAAGCCAUGAUGAAGUUACAGGUGAGACAUACAUGGGAUUACUGGAAGCCAUGAUGAAGUUACAGGUGAGACAGAUGUGGUGCUGCUGGAAGCCAUGAUGAAGUUACAGGUGAGACAGACAUGGGACUGUUGGAAGCCAUGAUGAAGUUACAGGUGAGACAUACAUGGGACUACUGGAAGCCAUGAUGAAGUUUCAGUUACUAGAUGUCUCUGAAUGUGGUAGGUGUAGUUAUUUCAACAGUAGGUGUGGAAAUGUAGUAAUCCAGUGCAUUUACCCCUGCAUUGUGACCUGUAUCAUGUACGUACAGCCAGUGGUGGCUCCAGUCAGACUUUGAUUG
Haliotis rubra (blacklip abalone) is the source of this 3082-nucleotide RNA transcript. It is a transcript of the gene named ribosome-releasing factor 2, mitochondrial-like, with no coding region annotated. The record is from RefSeq and is a predicted model, not a curated record. Lineage: Eukaryota; Metazoa; Mollusca; Gastropoda; Lepetellida; Haliotidae. The transcript has 11 exons.